Amphiprion ocellaris (clown anemonefish) is the source of this 1365-nucleotide long non-coding RNA. RefSeq lists it as uncharacterized. The record is from RefSeq and is a predicted model, not a curated record. The transcript is spliced from 3 exons. Lineage: Eukaryota; Metazoa; Chordata; Actinopteri; Pomacentridae.
CUCUUAAAGGAUUAUGAUUAGGAAAGGAGCCUAGUGUGAAGCUUAAGCCUGGUCCAUACAAAGACAAGUCGUUUUUAAGACAAGAUUUUUCAUUUCUUUGUUCAAAAAUAAAUUAAAAAAAAUCUGUUCCUAGUUUCAACAGGCUAUCAUGAUUGUACCUCAAGAAAAGGUGAUUCUGAUGGGUCCGUGUACGGAUCUGGUAAUUGGAUUUUCCGUUCUGAAACGGGUAUUGAAAAACAAAAAACGACUGGUUAUUUGAUUUUCGUUUUAAAAAACAAAAAUUAAAAUUGAAAUACAAGGCAUUUUUCCUUUUCAUGAUCAAAAAGGGAUAUAUGAUUUUUUUUUAAAAAAAAUGCUUUGAUUUUCGUUUUAUAUUUAAAAUAACAAGAAAGUAAAAUCAGUAAGAGACAGAAACGAAAAAAGGUCCGUUUUUUCAUUUUCUGAGACCGGAAGAGGUCAUCAGCAAGUGUGGAGCCAAACAGAGUACGGUGCAUAGACUGUACAUACAUUUUUUUCGUGAGUUUUCAUGUUCAAAAUGAGAGAUCAGGUGGCCGAUCUUAAAAUAAAUCAAUAUUGAUUUUUUUAUAGAGCGUUAAAGUUUUGCGAAGCCAGGGGGCGGGACUACUUGAAUGACAGUCCGGUCUGGAAUGAUUGACAGGUCCUAUGGAGGAGGCAGCAGAGACUCUGCUCUCCUCGUUUGGAUUAAUUCUGAUAUAAUAACUGUUGGUUUAUUUAUCGGUGGAGCAGCACAACAUUUUCCACAGACAGUUUUUCUGCCCGUUGGUUUGUUUCAACCAGUUUUCUACCUUCGGCUGAUUCUACCAGCAGACACUGAAAGGACUGAUAGUUCGAGUGAAAGUAGCAAUUCCUCCUUAAGGUCAGAGAUUGCAGCAUCUGAGGGCCUCUUCAAAAGAAGACGUAGAUGAUGAAGGCAUUCUGGAGCAGGACCAGAAAGACCACGACCAAGCAGCCUUGAGAUCUUAGGCAGCGUCUCCCUCAGGUCCCUCUCUAUCUCCCUACACAUCCACCAACCACUGGAACACAUCUCCAAAGUUCUGCCGGGCCAGCUCAGCUUCCCCUCAGAAGAAGUUCCACCAGAUGAAGGAGCCUUUUGAGAGGCAGCUGGCAUCGUGAUUGGACUGUACUUUGGUCUGUUCCAAUCCAGCUUCAGCUCCAGAGACGGCAGGCGGGACGAGUCAACGGAGGCCGGGUGGACGAAGGCAUGCAGCUGAGUACAAUCCAGAAAACAACAGAGGAGGAGUGCAGGGCCAGAACAAACAGAGUAGCAUCGUAUGUCUCUUAGAAAACAUCAUAGUAUAGCCUUUGGGAUGAAAAAACGCCAUCAUAUACAUCGUAUAUUGUAAA